RNAcentral lists this ribosomal RNA (511 nucleotides) under uncultured Sporosarcina sp. Its description in RNAcentral is "bacterial SSU rRNA". It matches the Rfam family "Bacterial small subunit ribosomal RNA", at positions 10 to 507 of the family's 1533-position model. Lineage: Bacteria; Bacillati; Bacillota; Bacilli; Caryophanales; Caryophanaceae. The record is from RNAcentral.
AGUUUGAUCCUGGCUCAGAGAACGCUGGCGGCGUGCCUAUACAUGCAAGUCGAGCGAACAGAAGAGGAGCUUGCUCCUCGGAAGUUAGCGGCGGAUGGGUGAGUAACACGUGGGCAACCUGCCCUGUAGUUGGGGAUAACUCCGGAAACCGGGGCUAAUACCGAAUAAUUAAUCUUUCGCAUGAAAGAAUUCUAAAAGACGGCUUCGGCUGUCACUACGGGAUGGGCCCGCGGCGCAUUAGCUAGUUGGUGGGGUAAUGGCCUACCAAGGCAACGAUGCGUAGCCGACCUGAGAGGGUGAUCGGCCACACUGGGACUGAGACACGGCCCAGACUCCUACGGGAGGCAGCAGUAGGGAAUCAUCCACAAUGGACGAAAGUCUGAUGGUGCAACGCCGCGUGAGCGAAGAAGGUUUUCGGAUCGUAAAGCUCUGUUGCGAGGGAAGAACAAGUACGAGAGUAACUGCUCGUACCUUGACGGUACCUCGUUAGAAAGCCACGGCUAACUACGUG